Molecule: ribosomal RNA, 433 nt
Filed under: uncultured marine bacterium
Lineage: Bacteria
Description: bacterial SSU rRNA
Rfam family: Bacterial small subunit ribosomal RNA
Source: RNAcentral
GAGAACCUUACCAACACUUGACAUGUUCGUCGCGACUCUAAGAGAUUAGAGUUUUCGGUUCGGCCGGACGAAACACAGGUGCUGCAUGGCUGUCGUCAGCUCGUGUCGUGAGAUGUUGGGUUAAGUCCCGCAACGAGCGCAACCCUCACUUUUGGUUGCCAUCAUUAAGUUGGGCACUCUGAAAGAACUGCCAGUGAUAAGCUGGAGGAAGGUGGGGAUGACGUCAAGUCCUCAUGGCCCUUACGUGUUGGGCUACACACGUGCUACAAUGGCAUCUACAACAGGAAGCAAAACGGCAACGUUAAGCAAAUCCCGAAAAGAUGCCUCAGUUCGGAUUGCACUCUGCAACUCGAGUGCAUGAAGCUGGAAUUACUAGUAAUCGUGGAUCAGCGUGCCACGGUGAAUGCGUUCCCGGGUCUUGUACACACCGAAU